Andrographis paniculata is the source of this 117-nucleotide small nuclear RNA. RefSeq annotates it as U5 spliceosomal RNA. The transcript has a single exon. The record is from RefSeq and is a predicted model, not a curated record. NCBI's taxonomy places the organism in Eukaryota, Viridiplantae, Streptophyta, Magnoliopsida, Lamiales, Acanthaceae.
GAGCUGCGCAGUGAGUGCAAAGCAAACUAUUCUUUCGCCUUUUAUUAAAAAAUAUUGUGUGCUUGCUACAAUCAAUCAGUAUACUACACUGAAAGAGUUUUUCCUUAUUUGGAAAAA